RNAcentral lists this transfer RNA (74 nucleotides) under Candidatus Margulisiibacteriota bacterium. RNAcentral's name for it is "tRNA-Met". It matches the Rfam family "tRNA". From Rfam's summary of the family: Transfer RNA (tRNA) molecules are approximately 80 nucleotides in length. Lineage: Bacteria; Bacillati; Candidatus Margulisiibacteriota. The record is from RNAcentral.
GGCGGAGUAGCUCAGUUGGUUAGAGCAAACGGCUCAUACCCGUUGUGUCGACAGUUCGAAUCUGUCCUCCGCUA